Small nucleolar RNA from Schizosaccharomyces japonicus yFS275, 185 nucleotides. It matches the Rfam family "small nucleolar RNA snR99". The record is from Rfam. Lineage: Eukaryota; Fungi; Ascomycota; Schizosaccharomycetes; Schizosaccharomycetales; Schizosaccharomycetaceae.
CCAUCAUCAGUAGUGGUUUUAACUUACUUUGUUAUACAAGUAAUUAAAAUCUAUCCCGGGGUCAAGUAUGAUGAUUGGAGCCGAAUGGCCUAGAAAAUGCAUCCGUUCCGUCCUCGGAGAUGAUUGAGUAGCUGUCCCGGUCGGUGUCUCAGGUGGGACAUUGUUGGGUUGUUGUUCGCACAUAA